This 77-nucleotide ribosomal RNA is filed under the name uncultured fungus. Its description in RNAcentral is "partial 5.8S ribosomal RNA". It matches the Rfam family "5.8S ribosomal RNA", at positions 81 to 154 of the family's 154-position model. From Rfam's summary of the family: 5.8S ribosomal RNA (5.8S rRNA) is a component of the large subunit of the eukaryotic ribosome. It is transcribed by RNA polymerase I as part of the 45S precursor that also contains 18S and 28S rRNA. Functionally, it is thought that 5.8S rRNA may be involved in ribosome translocation. Lineage: Eukaryota; Fungi. The record is from RNAcentral.
UCAGUGAAUCAUCGAAUCUUUGAACGCACAUUGCGCCCAUUAGUAUUCUAGUGGGCAUGCCUGUUCGAGCGUCAUUU